Taeniopygia guttata (zebra finch) is the source of this 1239-nucleotide non-coding RNA. The record is from RefSeq and is a predicted model, not a curated record. NCBI's taxonomy places the organism in Eukaryota, Metazoa, Chordata, Aves, Passeriformes, Estrildidae.
CAUUGGGCUUAUUAGGAUCAGUGUAACAUGCACUUUUGCUAUACUAGAUUGUAUUUGACUUUCAUCAUGAAAUCUCAUUACACUAAAAAGAAAUGGAAACAAGCUAUGCAAAUAAAAGAUUUUGCAGGUACUCUAAUGAAAUUACUCUGUAUCUGCAAAAACACACUUUGUAUGUAGGUCAUUCAAACCCUGAAUGUUGCUGGUCAGAGUGUUCUCAUUUGCUUUUGAAAAUUAAGAAUAGAUUCUCCAGCCUUAGCAGAAUUAUUUCAGAUUUAUGCUAACAUAACUGGAGUUAUAGCUUGAUCCUUGAAGUAGUUGUGCUAUCUGAAUUCUGAUGUUGAGUCAGUGAUUUACUAGGAGAGGGAACUUCCAAUUGCUUGUCUGCUUGCAGCUGGUUUGGGUGCUGCUACAACUUUAUCCAUGUGUGAAAUCCACGUGGCUGUGGGCACAGUCCUGAACCCCCAGCCAGGAUGAGGAAUUGUUUUCACCCAUUUGGCUCUUGUGGGGCAUCGUCUUGUCGUGUUUUGCCUGUUGGCAUCUGUGGAGGCAGCAUGAGCUGGCAGCACAGCAGAUCUCCUCAGGCACAAAGUCCUCCAUCCUGAAGCUCAGAGAAGAUCCGGUUACCACCUCCAAGAACAGUGAAUUGUUCCCAGAACAACUCACUACCAAAGCUCAUAUGUCCAAACCCAGACGCUUCACCGCUAUUCCCGUAGCUGCAGACAGUGCUGAGACCUUCUCAUACUCUGCUGGCAGGAGAAGCUGUAGUUAUAAGCUGAAUUCCAAGUGCAGAAAAUCCUGCUGAAGACUCCCAGGUUACAUGGGAAGACGAUGAUGUGUGGUGUGUGAACAAUUUGCUGGGUAAGUGUGUAGGGAUGGGAACUGGCAGAAAGGUUGAACUGUUUUCUCUUUCUGCCUUGACAGUCUCUUUUGUUUUUCAGAUGCAGAUUUAACAAAACAAAACUAGAGCUAAUUUUAAUUUUUAAUUAAAGUCAAUAGCUUAUGUUCAUUCUGACAUAUUUGGUACAAAGAAGAAUAAAAGAAAAUACAGAGGGAAACUUGAAAGAGAAAUGCAUUUCUUCAGCUUAAUUAUUUAGUUUCAAACUAAGAAACAGCUCUGCAGACGUCGAUUAUCCUUCAGGGAUAACUCAGAAGAAGUGAGCAAUUAGCUUGAUUUUCUGUUGAAUAUGUAGCUUGUGACUCAGUAUGUGAUCUAUUAAAAAGAUGAUAAUUCCUUUUAAA